CAACUUUCAACAAUGGAUCUCUUGGUUCUCGCAUCGAUGAAGAACGCAGCGAAAUGCGAUAAGUAAUGUGAAUUGCAGAUCUCAGUGAAUCAUCGAAUCUUUGAACGCACCUUGCGCUCUUUGGUAUUCCAAAGGGCAUGCCUGUUUGAGUGUCAUUA
This 158-nucleotide ribosomal RNA is filed under the name Tricholomopsis decora. Its description in RNAcentral is "5.8S ribosomal RNA". It matches the Rfam family "5.8S ribosomal RNA". Rfam says of the family: 5.8S ribosomal RNA (5.8S rRNA) is a component of the large subunit of the eukaryotic ribosome. The record is from RNAcentral. RNAcentral also lists the same sequence under 2 other names. Lineage: Eukaryota; Fungi; Basidiomycota; Agaricomycetes; Agaricales.